AUUGAACGCUGGCGGCAGGCCUAACACAUGCAAGUCGAACGGUAACAGGAAACAGCUUGCUGUUUCGCUGACGAGUGGCGGACGGGUGAGUAAUGUCUGGGAAACUGCCUGAUGGAGGGGGAUAACUAUUGGAAACGGUAGCUAAUACCGCAUAACGUCGCAAGACCAAAGAGGGGGACCUUCGGGCCUCUUGCCAUCGGAUGUGCCCAGAUGGGAUUAGCUAGUAGGUGGGGUAACGGCUCACCUAGGCGACGAUCCCUAGCUGGUCUGGGAGGAUGACCAGCCACACUGGAACUGAGACACGGUCCAGACUCCUACGGGAGGCAGCAGUGGGGAAUAUUGCACAAUGGGCGCAAGCCUGAUGCAGCCAUGCCGCGUGUAUGAAGAAGGCCUUCGGGUUGUAAAGUACUUUCAGCGGGGAUGAAGGGAGUAAAGUUAAUACCUUUGCUCAUUGACGUUACCCGCAGAAGAGGCACCGGCUAACUCCG
This 488-nucleotide ribosomal RNA is filed under the name uncultured bacterium. RNAcentral describes it as "partial 16S ribosomal RNA". It matches the Rfam family "Bacterial small subunit ribosomal RNA", at positions 30 to 505 of the family's 1533-position model. The record is from RNAcentral.